GAAGGUGGCCUGUGAGGGUUGCUGGAGGUAUCAGAAGUGCGAAUGCUGACAUAAGUAACGAUAAAGCGGGUGAAAAGCCCGCUCGCCGGAAGACCAAGGGUUCCUGUCCAACGUUAAUCGGGGCAGGGUGAGUCGACCCCUAAGGCGAGGCCGAAAGGCGUAGUCGAUGGGAAACGGGUUAAUAUUCCCGUACUUGGUGUUACUGCGAAGGGGGGACGGAGAAGGCUAUGUUGGCCGGGCGACGGUUGUCCCGGUUUAAGCGUGUAGGUGUGUGUUCCAGGUAAAUCCGGUUCACUUUAACACUGAGGCGUGACGACGAGGCACUACGGUGCUGAAGCAACAAAUGCCCUGCUUCCAGGAAAAGCCUCUAAGCAUCAGGUAACAUCAAAUCGUACCCCAAACCGACACAGGUGGUCAGGUAGAGAAUACCAAGGCGCUUGAGAGAACUCGGGUGAAGGAACUAGGCAAAAUGGUGCCGUAACUUCGGGAGAAGGCACGCUGACACGUAGGUGAAGUGAUUUACUCAUGGAGCUGAAGUCAGUCGAAGAUACCAGCUGGCUGCAACUGUUUAUUAAAAACACAGCACUGUGCAAACACGAAAGUGGACGUAUACGGUGUGACGCCUGCCCGGUGCCGGAAGGUUAAUUGAUGGGGUCAGCGCAAGCGAAGCUCCUGAUCGAAGCCCCGGUAAACGGCGGCCGUAACUAUAACGGUCCUAAGGUAGCGAAAUUCCUUGUCGGGUAAGUUCCGACCUGCACGAAUGGCGUAAUGAUGGCCAGGCUGUCUCCACCCGAGACUCAGUGAAAUUGAACUCGCUGUGAAGAUGCAGUGUACCCGCGGCAAGACGGAAAGACCCCGUGAACCUUUACUAUAGCUUGACACUGAACAUUGAGCCUUGAUGUGUAGGAUAGGUGGGAGGCUUUGAAGUGUGGACGCCAGUCUGCAUGGAGCCGACCUUGAAAUACCACCCUUUAAUGUUUGAUGUUCUAACGUGGACCCGUAAUCCGGGUUGCGGACAGUGUCUGGUGGGUAGUUUGACUGGGGCGGUCUCCUCCUAAAGAGUAACGGAGGAGCACGAAGGUUGGCUAAUCCUGGUCGGACAUCAGGAGGUUAGUGCAAUGGCAUAAGCCAGCUUGACUGCGAGCGUGACGGCGCGAGCAGGUGCGAAAGCAGGUCAUAGUGAUCCGGUGGUUCUGAAUGGAAGGGCCAUCGCUCAACGGAUAAAAGGUACUCCGGGGAUAACAGGCUGAUACCGCCCAAGAGUUCAUAUCGACGGCGGUGUUUGGCACCUCGAUGUCGGCUCAUCACAUCCUGGGGCUGAAGUAGGUCCCAAGGGUAUGGCUGUUCGCCAUUUAAAGUGGUACGCGAGCUGGGUUUAGAACGUCGUGAGACAGUUCGGUCCCUAUCUGCCGUGGGCGCUGGAGAACUGAGGGGGGCUGCUCCUAGUACGAGAGGACCGGAGUGGACGCAUCACUGGUGUUCGGGUUGUCAUGCCAAUGGCACUGCCCGGUAGCUAAAUGCGGAAGAGAUAAGUGCUGAAAGCAUCUAAGCACGAAACUUGCCCCGAGAUGAGUUCUCCCUGAGACUUAGAGUCUCCUGAAGGAACGUUGAAGACGACGACGUUGAUAGGCCGGGUGUGUAAG
This 1643-nucleotide ribosomal RNA is filed under the name Salmonella enterica subsp. enterica serovar Albany. Its description in RNAcentral is "bacterial LSU rRNA". It matches the Rfam family "Bacterial large subunit ribosomal RNA", at positions 1252 to 2873 of the family's 2925-position model. The record is from RNAcentral. Lineage: Bacteria; Pseudomonadati; Pseudomonadota; Gammaproteobacteria; Enterobacterales; Enterobacteriaceae.